RNAcentral lists this transfer RNA (69 nucleotides) under Amblythyreus gestroi. RNAcentral describes it as "tRNA-Ser". It matches the Rfam family "tRNA". Rfam says of the family: Transfer RNA (tRNA) molecules are approximately 80 nucleotides in length. Their secondary structure includes four short double-helical elements and three loops (D, anti-codon, and T loops). Lineage: Eukaryota; Metazoa; Arthropoda; Insecta; Hemiptera; Phymatidae. The record is from RNAcentral.
AGCUAAAUAGCUUAAUAAAAGCAGAUAUUUUGAAAGUAUAAGAAAAAGGUUUAAUUCCUUUAUUAGCUU